AUUUUUCCUUCCCACAGAACACUCGUUGUACGAUUCACAGGUACUGCUGACACAUGCCAGACCUUACAAUGCCUGGAUAGGUCCUUUUUUUGUGUCAGCUAACCACAUCAUAUGUUUUAGCAAUCUGUGAGUCGAUGACACACUCAACCAUUGGUUGAUGCAUGCAACGUCUGAGUAGGGGAACUCGACAUCUGUGUUUGUCACUGUGUUCACUGUUUCUUAGUUGCCCUCCUGACCUCUUCCCCAUUGACUCUUUCAGUCCAGAGAUAAGCAGCUCAUUAACAUACAGCACAUGUUUGUCAGUACAGCGACUUGGUUGGAACUUUAUUGGUAGUUGUUCUUGUACAGUGCAGAAUGUCUUUACAAUGGGUCAAGGGUACACAAAGUGCUGUUGUUUGAUGUUCAACUCGAGCACUCUACUGGAUAACAGAAUGGCCAGUGCUUAAGGCCCACAGAACUGGAUGAGGUUUCUGGGGGCAUGGCAGUCCUACCACUAGUUAUACAACCAGUACAAACAAUGUAAAGCAUCACAGGUGCACAGUGUGCUCAGUAACCUUAAAUUGAAGACUAUUCGGCAAGAGCAUAUUUACUAUGAAAUAUCGUAUUAUCAUAUUAUUAAAUGUGAACUUAUUCUUUAACAAUUAAAAAUAAGCAUUUAUCCAUUCUUGAAUGGCUCUCAAGGUGCAGACAUUGGGUGAUAUUAGCAGAUGUAUGUUACAUGUUCACUGUACUGUCCUCUCCUGUAGGGUUCAGGGUGCCAUUGUAAAAGUGAAGCCCAAGGUUGAAAGUGCCAUCCAAUUAGGAAGUGGUAAAAAAACACACGCCCCGUGAUACACACAAAGUGCACACAUUACUCAUUACUGUGAUCCUGUGUGGCUCAGUUGUUAAAGCAUGGGGCUUGUAAUGCGUGGGUUCAAUUCCCACUGGGGCCACUCAGACGUAAAUGUAUGCACACCUGACUGUUUAAUAGUUACUUUGGAUUGGGUUGCGGUCAUUGGAGUUGCUGGUAUCAUUGGACUCUUUCUUCCAAGAGGUAUUAGUUUUGAAUUUGAAUGACGAGUACCCUGUUUUUUUAUCUCCAUCGUGUGUUUGGGUUUAUCAACUUUGUCUCUGUGUUUAAGCAAACACUCUGUAUCAGUGAGUCUCUGAGCUAGAGUCUGGUCUAGCGGUAGAGCUGUUGCCUCCAGACCAUAUCAAAUAUCAGGCCUACUACUGCUUACUGUUGCCCUAUCCGGUUUUCCCUUUCUUGCUUCUAAUCUAUCUUCUUGAAUAAAAAUUGUCUGUGGUCCCCACUCUUGUGUCUCCUAGGCUCCAGGGUGAAGAAGCUCAUCUACCCUACAGGGCUGAUGGCUGCGGGACACUAUGUACUACCCCCAAGCGGCCGCAUCAAUCGCCAAGAACACUCGUUGUACGAUUUCGCCCUGCAGGGCUACGCUAACAUAGACAUUUUUCAACUCCGCCACCACACCAGUAGAGGGGAAGCCUAUGAAAAACAAGAGGAAAACAGCCCAGCUGCAGAGUCCAAACCCCGAUCAUAGCAGCUACAACAAACCUGAACAUUUCUGCACAAUACCAGUUUUCCAGCACCUUCAUUGACCUGGUGGUCAAUUAGCCUCUGGAUCAGCCUGCAGAUGUAUAGAACACCCCAAUCAC
Oncorhynchus kisutch (coho salmon) is the source of this 1653-nucleotide long non-coding RNA. RefSeq lists it as uncharacterized. The transcript is spliced from 3 exons. The record is from RefSeq and is a predicted model, not a curated record. NCBI's taxonomy places the organism in Eukaryota, Metazoa, Chordata, Actinopteri, Salmoniformes, Salmonidae.